Molecule: unclassified non-coding RNA, 414 nt
Filed under: Hevea brasiliensis (rubber tree)
Lineage: Eukaryota; Viridiplantae; Streptophyta; Magnoliopsida; Malpighiales; Euphorbiaceae
Source: RNAcentral
AUGAGGUUGUCUGUGGUGAGUCUUUUAUCAAGGGUUGGUGUUUUCAACCUAGAAAUAGCUACUUUGGUUGUUGUUGAUGCAUCAACAAACAUGUACUUUUCCUAGGAUAAACAUUGCUUCAAGUAACAUCCAAAACACAUAAAAAACACUUAAUGUCACAUUUACUAUUAGCAAUGAAAUUUUUCACAAUGUAUCAUUGGUGGUAGAAACCCUGUAUACAAGCAUUUUAUAAGUAUUUGAGCUUUCUUUAUGGUUUUGUGCCACUUGAUGUUCACUCUCUUUUAGCUGAGAUUCCUGAGGAUUAUUUUUUUAUUUUUUUUAAUCCAUAGUCAUUAGUAACAGAUGAAAGAAUAUCAAUCUGAAGUCUCAACUUUAAUCAGGCAAAGUAGUCUUAAUAUUUUUUUAAUGCAUUCG